Molecule: ribosomal RNA, 497 nt
Filed under: uncultured bacterium
Lineage: Bacteria
Description: partial 16S ribosomal RNA
Rfam family: Bacterial small subunit ribosomal RNA
Source: RNAcentral
GAUGAACGCUGGCGGCGUGCCUAAUACAUGCAAGUCGAGCGAACAGACGAGGAGCUUGCUCCUCUGACGUUAGCGGCGGACGGGUGAGUAACACGUGGAUAACCUACCUAUAAGACUGGGAUAACUUCGGGAAACCGGAGCUAAUACCGGAUAAUAUAUUGAACCGCAUGGUUCAAUAGUGAAAGACGGGUUUGCUGUCACUUAUAGAUGGAUCCGCGCCGCAUUAGCUAGUUGGUAAGGUAACGGCUUACCAAGGCAACGAUGCGUAGCCGACCUGAGAGGGUGAUAGGCCACACUGGAACUGAGACACGGUCCAGACUCCUACGGGAGGCAGCAGUAGGGAAUCUUCCGCAAUGGGCGAAAGCCUGACGGAGCAACGCCGCGUGAGUGAUGAAGGUCUUCGGAUCGUAAAACUCUGUUAUUAGGGAAGAACAAAUGUGUAAGUAACUAUGCACGUCUUGACGGUACCUAAUCAGAAAGCCACGGCUAACUACGUG